GAUUUCUGGCUCGGGGCGCCUGGCCCGCCUCGAAAGAGUGUGUGUUGUCGGCGUGCCCCGGUCAUCCUUCUGGAGAACGCCCCUGCCCUUCACUGGGUCGGGGGCGGGAUCCAGAUCGUUUACUUUGAAAAAAUUAGAGUGUUCAAAGCAGGCUUUACGCUGUGAAUACAUUAGCAUGGAAUAAUAAUUUAGGACUUCGGUUCUAUUUUGUUGGUUUCUAGGACUGAAGUAAUGAUUGAUAGGGAUAGUUGGGGGUGCUAGUAUUCAGCGGCCAGAGGUGAAAUUCUCGGAUUCGCUGAAGACUAACUUAUGCGAAAGCAUU
RNAcentral lists this ribosomal RNA (322 nucleotides) under Tremula sp. RNAcentral describes it as "SSU rRNA". The stretch from base 106 to 322 matches the Rfam family "Eukaryotic small subunit ribosomal RNA", at positions 738 to 955 of the family's 1831-position model. The record is from RNAcentral. Lineage: Eukaryota; Cercozoa; Skiomonadea; Tremulida.